This 622-nucleotide long non-coding RNA is filed under the name Ananas comosus (pineapple). RNAcentral describes it as "long non-coding RNA (ACOM_LNC006218)". The record is from RNAcentral. Lineage: Eukaryota; Viridiplantae; Streptophyta; Magnoliopsida; Poales; Bromeliaceae.
UUUUAAAGAGUGGGGCUACUAUGCUUCUUGAAGCAGAGAGCCUUCCGUGUUUUCAGAAAGCACGGUUGUUUUCUAUGUUGCGAUUUUCGAAUUGUCGAUCGGCUCCGUUAAACUUGAUCUAGAGUAUUUGAAGUGCCUAUAAAAUAAAUUAUACGAUUUUUCGAUAUUAUUUGUCUAGUGAAUGAAGGGGCUCAAAAUCAACGGUUGAAAAUAAAAAUCUUACAAAACGUGAUAAUAUGACAUUAAAAUUUUUGAUCAAAGAUAUUGAUCUUGUUUUAUAUAGUAUAAAGAAUUUUCUAUCAAAAUUUCACGUAUUUUGAAUAUUUUUACACCGUUAAACUUGCAAACGGCUCACUACGGCCAUAAAAAUUAUUGAUUUUGAGCCCCUUCAAUCACUAGGCAAAUGAUAUCAAAAAAUUAUAAAAUUUAUUUUCUAGGUACUUCAAAUACACUAGAUCAAGUUUAACGGAGCUGAUCGACGAUUUGAAAGUCGCAACAUAAAAAACGAGCUGGAAGCACAGAAGAUUCCGUACUUCUAAAAGCAUAGUAGUCUCACUCUAUUUUAAAUGUCAAAGAUUAAAUAUAACAUUGUUCCUUGCACAACUAACUUUUUGCCUAAAUU